GGUUCCGUGGUGUAGCGGUUAUCACAUCUGCUUUACACGCAGAAGGUCGCCGGUUCGAUUCUGGCCGGAACCA
RNAcentral lists this transfer RNA (73 nucleotides) under Eufriesea mexicana. RNAcentral's name for it is "tRNA-Val". It matches the Rfam family "tRNA". From Rfam's summary of the family: Transfer RNA (tRNA) molecules are approximately 80 nucleotides in length. Their secondary structure includes four short double-helical elements and three loops (D, anti-codon, and T loops). The record is from Rfam by way of RNAcentral. Lineage: Eukaryota; Metazoa; Arthropoda; Insecta; Hymenoptera; Apidae.